RNAcentral lists this ribosomal RNA (481 nucleotides) under uncultured bacterium. Its description in RNAcentral is "partial 16S ribosomal RNA". It matches the Rfam family "Bacterial small subunit ribosomal RNA", at positions 28 to 507 of the family's 1533-position model. The record is from RNAcentral.
GAUGAACGCUGGCGGCGUGCUUAACACAUGCAAGUCGAACGAAGCAUUUAGGACAGAUUACUUCGGUUUGAAGUUCUUUAUGACUGAGUGGCGGACGGGUGAGUAACGCGUGGGUAACCUGCCUUGUACUGGGGGAUAGCAGCUGGAAACGGCUGGUAAUACCGCAUAAGCGCACAAUGUUGCAUGACAUGGUGUGAAAAACUCCGGUGGUAUAAGAUGGACCCGCGUCUGAUUAGCUAGUUGGUGAGAUAACAGCCCACCAAGGCGACGAUCAGUAGCCGACCUGAGAGGGUGACCGGCCACAUUGGGACUGAGACACGGCCCAGACUCCUACGGGAGGCAGCAGUGGGGAAUAUUGCACAAUGGAGGAAACUCUGAUGCAGCGACGCCGCGUGAGUGAAGAAGUAAGUCGUUAUGUAAAGCUCUAUCAGCAGGGAAGAUAGUGACGGUACCUGACUAAGAAGCUCCGGCUAAAUACGUG